This 63-nucleotide ribosomal RNA is filed under the name Fusarium sp. 03112224. Its description in RNAcentral is "partial 28S ribosomal RNA". The record is from RNAcentral. Lineage: Eukaryota; Fungi; Ascomycota; Sordariomycetes; Hypocreales; Nectriaceae.
UUGACCUCGGAUCAUGGUAGCAAUACCCGCUGAAUUUAAGCAUAACCAUAAAACCGAGGAAAG